UUACGUUUUCUCAGUUUUCUAAGUGUCAAAUUUUAAGAGUUAAUUUACCAGUUUUCAAGUGCUUAGGGUUUCCCGUGAGUAAUUCAAAAGGACCACUCAUGCUCUAAUUUCCAAUAAAUCAUUUGGGAUGUUUACUUAACUCCAAUUUUAUGACUUUUUGAACCAAAAGUAACACUACACAACCAGGAAAACCAUUUCAAACAUCCGGACGUUCCAAGGGCAAAAGGGGAAUGACGUCUCGAACGCCCUCCACCUGGUUCACCUCGACCCAAAAGAAAAUUCCAAAGGUUGGUUCCGUUUGAUAAUUUACGACCUGGAACCUGACAGGUGACUCUAAGUCCAUGGGGUUGACAACGAUCUCGAGCACCUUGUAGGCAUGCCAGCCCACAUGAUGCCAUCCUGACUCCUGGAUAACCUGAAGGCAAAUCCAACAUCUUCCGACAGGAAAAUUAAAAAACGGCUCAGACCCACACCCUUCACAAGGACGAGGAGCAAAAAAGUUUGUUAUUCCGACGAAAUGGAGAGUCCUUAUUUCCCAUUGAUGACGAAUUGGCAGUAAUCCUUUUUGGGCACAGUUAACACACCUCCAAAUCCAACCCUCAGGACCUUGGGCUACCGAAACCUGAUAAUAUACAUGCCGGAUUUGAACGUUAACUUCAGGAAUGAUGUCUGGGAAUUGUCUGUGAGGCACAAGCAGUUCCAGUGCUGGUCUUAAAUCCCGGAUAUUUUGAAAUUUCUCUGAUAAAUAAUUCAGAGCACAAUACACCAACAAGGAGAUGAGAAUCAUUUCCAUCAUUUUGACAAGUGACAACACGAUUUCACUUUUAUACAAAGAAAAUAAAAGAAAACGAAAAGAAUUUUCGAGAUCCAGAAUCAAUGAAAGAUUCGAUAGGAAUGAAGAUUUGAACGAGCUUCACUGGUUCUGUAGUGGGGGAAAAGAACCCAACUUUUCGGAAUAUCAAUUGCAGAAUCACCAGGACCAGGGAUAUUUGGCAGUAUUUAAAAUUUAUUUUGCAAUUUCGUGAUCAGAUAAGUAUUCAAUAAUGCAUAUAUUAUAUUGUAUAAAAAUUAUUAAUUUAUAAUUACUUUUCUUUGUUUUUAAAAUGUUUUUUUAGGUUAAUUAGGUCUGCAGAUAGUGGCAAACCGAGGAAUUAAACUAUAGCACUCACAGCUUUUCACCACCAAUUCCAGGAUUGUACUGAUCUUAUUAUUUUUGCAUUCAAAAUGGAGUCUUUCGUGAGCCAGCGAGUGCACAUUGUCAAGCCGCAGAAAGAGUUCCUGCAAAUGAAUCGUAUAGGUCUUAUCAGGCGGAUUGACAGAGAAGCUUCUUGGAAGAUUAGCAUCUCUACUAUAAACUAGAGUGAAGGGAGCAAAGCCUGUUGCCUCGCGAACAUUCACAUUAUAAGAGAAAACUGCAAAUCGAGUCCAAUCAUCCCAGUCAACUUUUCCUUCGAAACUUCUGAGAUAUUCAAUCAAGGUGGAUGACGAUAAUUUUUUAUGUUUACCGGUUAAUUAUCAGAAGUGACAAUUUUAUGAGCAACAACAUUAGUUGAUCCCAAUUUGUCAUUAGGAAGAUGAAAUUGCUGAGAAUAAUCAAAAAAUAUUGCAAAUCUAGAAGCCUGUUUUCUUUCAUUAGCAGAAAGUUUACAAUCCUCAGAAUCAAUUUCAAAAUAUUCUUCAAGUUCAACUGGUGGUAUUGUUAAAUUUAUUUGCUGAUUAUUGGAAUUUAUAAAGAAGAUUUUAGCAGUUCCGUUUUCAUUAAAAAUCAAAGACUCACCAGCAAAAAUUCCAGGACCACACUGAAUUCUACGUAAACUGAUUGUCUUAUGGGAGUCAAACGGAAAAUUAAUAUUUUCUAUUUGAAGACAGUCACUUUCAAAAUUUACAAUGGCGUUGUCUUUUUUGAGGAAAGGAAUACCAAGGAUACCUUCUUGUGGAAUGGGAAAUGAUUCUGAUACAACGUGGAAAGAAGCUUCGAGGCCCCUUAUGAUCAACCUGAUUUCACCGAUAGUGGAAACCAUUUCCGGGCCUAUUCCAACCAAAUGAAUUAUUCGCUUUUUAUUUAUCCAAACCGUGGGACUCACUACAUUUUCUUUAUUUAAGUUCACUCCAGCGCCAGUAUCAAUUAAAAAGAUCACCUUAUUCUUUGAAAAAGAAGAAUUAUCAAAUUCUACUGUCGCAUUUGAACCGAGUUCAUUAAACUGUCCGAGUGAGAGGAUAAUGCGCUGGGUUGAGAGGGGUUUACACUUAGAGUCGUGUAAACUUAGACCGUUCCCUUGCAUGCCUUCUUUUAAUGUUACAAUUCUCUACAGAAUGGUUACCUCGAUAACAAUAACUACAAUCCGCACUCUCUUUGUCCUUUACAUCUCUUUUAAUCUUUUUUGGACUGUUUCGCUUAUAAUGUCCAAAUUAUUUACAAUAAUAACACUGCACAGACUCUAAAUUUCGUACAGGCUUAGUAUUAUCCUCUACUCGCACAUGAGCUACUCUCUUUAAUAUAUCUUGCCCUAUUUUAUUCCUUAAGUUAGAUCCCAACGAGGUAGAUGGAAUUGAGCCAGACAGAGAUUCAUGCACUCUUUCCCAACUUUUCACUUUUUGAUCGGCUUUAAUGGCUAAUGCAAUACCAUCAUCCAAAGUGUUAAUUUCUUUAUCAUGAAUGGCCAUAUAAAUGUUAAAAUCUAACCCGCGUAAAAAAUUGCCAAUCACGGUCACUUUAUACGCUUCACAACCGCCCAUACCUCUUACUCCAGGGGUGUUUUCCAUUACUUGAGAAGUUAAUUUAUUGAAAAUUUGAUUAACGCGAGCCCCAUAUUCUGGAAUUGACUCAUCCGGUUUCCUUUUAACGUUAGCUAAAGUCUGUAAAAUUUGACUUAUAUCUUCUUCCUGGGCGUAAAUGCGUUCUAAAGUUUUUAAGAUGUCAUGAAGUUCGAAAUCGCUUCUAUCUUGAAUAUAAUAAAGCGCUUCGCCGGUAAUUUUAUUCAAAACCAUCAUAGUUAAGUAAAGUGCAUCGCGAGGAUCGGUCAUACCAAUAACAGACUUACACUAUCAGAAGGAUUUUCGCUCACUACUAAUCGAGAUCGCAAUUCUUGACUUACUACAGCAGGUGGUCCACCAGCACUAUCAAUUUUAUCUCGUCUAGCUUUUUUCGGUGUCGAUGCUUCGUUUACAUCUUUCGCAUUCACUGCUCCAGGAAGGUUUUCUGAAUUGCUUGAGUGUCCUUGAUCCUUCAGCAAUUUCCUUCGAGUAGUUGUUCAGGAUUUCUUUGCGGUUGAUCCCACGGUGCCAUACUUUCUUCCGUUUCGGGCAGGUGAUUCGGCAUCAAUUUUUAUUUUCCACGUUGAGGUAAGGAUUUUCUUAUUAAAAAUUUAUUUUAUCCUUUUAGGCCUAGGGUUAUUGAGGAAUAGUUUGUUGGUCUCUAUUUAACCGUUAACAACCUUUGUGCAAUUGUCGACACCCUAUGCUACCGGGAGUAAACCCACCCCAAAACCCUGGUAGAAGAUUGCGGCUUUUAUUUUCUAAUGUUUAUUGUUAUAAAUUGAUAAUCCUGUUCCAUUCAUUUUUCAGAUUCAAAAGACAGCGCCUUUUAUCUGUGGAGUAUUCUUCUUUGUGGUAAGACGAACAGCCUUAAAUUUCAAUCAGUGAGUCAGUAGUCCAUUGACCCAGUUUUUCUUCAAUUUAUUAUUAUCUGAACAGGAUCGUUGUUGCCAUUGAUUCGUUGAAACGAAAACCAUUUAAAGGAACUUAUUUGAAAUAAAAAAACACUUAAUUUAACAGUUGAUUAUUCACAAUUUAUUUAAAGAUGCAUUUCCACCAUCACUGUCUCAGAAGUCACAAAUCACAAUUGUUUAUAAUUGUUUAUAUCGCGGCAUGCCGUUUCGCGUUUAACAAUUGGUCUUAUUUAUAAUAGUUUAUUAUUUAACAACAAUUCAAAUGAAUUAACUAAAUUCAAACACAAUACAAAGUUUUUGGGUCCAAAAAACUCAAUUAUACACUAUCAAGUGUCGCAGGUUUAGUAUUAAAUAUGCGGUUCGGAGAUGCAAAAUCUGGCGUUUUUCCGUUGUGCGCGCGUUUUUAUAAAUUCUGUUUUGGGCGGAGAAAUCUCCCAAUUUCCCUUUUCAGCCAAUAAAAUCGCUGACGUCAUUAAAUUUAACAGUCAGUUUACAAAUAAGAAAUUAGGUCGCAUGGCUCCGCCUAUUAGAUUUACAACGCAAUAUGACCGUUAAUUUUUAUGACAAGAUGGAUGUUUUGUAACGCAGUGAACAUUUUUGAUAUCAAAAUUUUCUCAGAUUUUACCACUAAAGAGUAUAAUACUAUCAUCUGCACUGUCAGCAGAAA
Molecule: long non-coding RNA, 4335 nt
Organism: Belonocnema kinseyi
Lineage: Eukaryota; Metazoa; Arthropoda; Insecta; Hymenoptera; Cynipidae
Exons: 8
Source: RefSeq, a predicted model, not a curated record